CUGACCUCAAUCAGGUAGGACUACCCGCUGAACUUAA
This 37-nucleotide ribosomal RNA is filed under the name Polyporus tricholoma. RNAcentral describes it as "partial 28S ribosomal RNA". Lineage: Eukaryota; Fungi; Basidiomycota; Agaricomycetes; Polyporales; Polyporaceae. The record is from RNAcentral.